This is a long non-coding RNA of Anas platyrhynchos (mallard), 1333 nucleotides long. RefSeq lists it as uncharacterized. The record is from RefSeq and is a predicted model, not a curated record. NCBI's taxonomy places the organism in Eukaryota, Metazoa, Chordata, Aves, Anseriformes, Anatidae.
AAGACCUCCUGGGAUGGUGACUUAACUAUUUCCCCAGGCAGACUGUUUUAAUGCCUUACAACCCUUCCAGUAAAGACUUUUCUCCUACCAUCCAACCUCCCCUGGCACAACUUGAGACCAUUUCCCCUUGUCUUACCACUUGGUGUUUGGGAGAAGAGACUGAUCCCCACCUUGCUACAACCUCCUGUUUAAGAUAUAUUUUCAGGAUUGAUUCCUGGAUAUGGCCAACCAGGAAAACACCCUGCAGAACUGGACAUUAGUAGAUAUUCUUCAAAAUCUCCAUAAAUCUACGGGAAGAGAUGAUCCUGUUUGUUUUGCAAGAACUCUGGAACCAUAAAUUAAAAGACCCCACUAGCCUGUCUGGGAAUAAUCCUAAGCAGCAAACAAAAUGAUGGGUGUGAGUUACUGCUAUCAUGCUCCAGAGCUCACCUUCACUAUCUGGAAGAAGGGAAAGCAGGACAGAACCAUCUUUCUUAUUGUCGUUGUGUUACCGGAUGCUGAAAUGCAUUCAAUGCCCCAGAGCCUUCAUCUUCAUGGUCUCACCCAAACCAAGCCAGAAAGUAGCUUCCACAUAACAUUGUUUCCACCUAGUUUUAAAAAUAUUUCAGAUGUGUGAAUUUAUUCCUUACUUCUUUUCCUUUGCCACUUUUUAGUGUUUCCCUCCUGCUGUUUAAUAAGAACCUUGCUCCAAGUGUUUGGUGCUCCACAUGCUCUGGAGCACCAAACACUGUGACUUACUGACCAGAGAGAUGACUAGCAGUCUGAUAUUGAAAAGGGAAUGAAAAAUCUUUGAGUAUCUCAGUUUGAUGUUGUGCUAGUCUUUCUCCAGGAAUAUUUAUUCCCAGAAGGGCACUGCAAAGCAAGCCUUAGAUAUUCUUGUUAAUAAGGUUUAAAUUACUACUGUCCUCAAUUGUUCAUCCUCACCCUUACUGGGUUACUUAUCCCACAGCAGGAAUGGCUGAAGAAAUGUGCAAACGCAUCUUAGCCUGUCACCUUAGCUUAAAGUGAUGAUAAAGUGGGUGAGACCUAUGGCUGUGAUUUUGAGAUGAGGUAAAAUGCUAGCUUUUUCUCCUGCCUCAGACAAAGGGACAAGAGAGUCAAGUGAGAAUGGAAACUCUGACUGCCACAGCAAAUGGUAGAGAUAAUCUGUUAAAGUCUGAUGUUGAAGGCACCUUUUCUCUUUAUUUUAUUUUCUUGUUUUCAAGGAUACUGUUCACCUCAGCUAACUUUCUUUUACUCCAAAGCCCAGUUAUCUUAAUACUUCAUAAAAGACUGUGAAAUGGUUGGUUUGUUUUUCCAUAUAAAAAUUCUUUACAGCAAAAGCAAAAGCAAA